UGGCGACCGGCGCACGGGUGAGUAACACGUAUCCAACCUGCCGAUGACUCGGGGAUAGCCUUUCGAAAAGAAAGAUUAAUACCCGAUGGCAUAGUUCUUCCGCAUGGUAGAACUAUUAAAGAAUUUCGGUCAUCGAUGGGGAUGCGUUCCAUUAGCUUGUUGGCGGGGUAACGGCCCACCAAGGCAUCGAUGGAUAGGGGUUCUGAGAGGAAGGUCCCCCACAUUGGAACUGAGACACGGUCCAAACUCCUACGGGAGGCAGCAG
RNAcentral lists this ribosomal RNA (265 nucleotides) under uncultured bacterium. RNAcentral's name for it is "partial 16S ribosomal RNA". It matches the Rfam family "Bacterial small subunit ribosomal RNA", at positions 89 to 354 of the family's 1533-position model. The record is from RNAcentral.